RNAcentral lists this transfer RNA (65 nucleotides) under Ochthebius scopuli. Its description in RNAcentral is "tRNA-Glu". Lineage: Eukaryota; Metazoa; Arthropoda; Insecta; Coleoptera; Hydraenidae. The record is from RNAcentral.
AUUUAUAUAGUUUAAUAAAACAUUACAUUUUCAUUGUAAAAUUAAAAUAUAUUUUUUUAUAAAUA